GCCAACGAGGUUGACUCUGUGCAGAUACUAAAAGCAAGAAAGGGUUCCAAGAAGCAGAUCUCCAGAUGAUAAUUCAUGUGCAAUAUGGCUUACUGAAGAGGUCCUCUUGGGAAAAACUAGAUGUGGAAAGAAAGCAGCACAGAAAGGAAAGAAGCAAAGCAGAGUUCCAGCCUCAGCAUGAUCCCACGGGGGAGGUUGGAAGAGUAAAUUACACCACUGAUUUUGGCCUAAUCCCAAGGCCAGUGAGCUGGGCUUUCAUUUUUUCCACCCCAGUUCCUUAUUGAAUAAAGAUCACUCUUGAGGACCUAGAUCCGAGGAAUUUCAGUCUCUCACUGGCCACCCCAGUGGCCCAAAUGUGGUUCUUUAUAGAGAAUCACAGAGUUGGACAAUUAGAAGCAAAACACUUAGAAGGCAAAUGAAGGCAAACUGAAAAGGUCAAAGGGACCCAAGGAAAUCCCAUUUUUUAGACCCUUCAAAGAUCUUUCUGGGCGUUGAAACCAACAUCCUCCUUACUCCUGCCUUCCCGGGAUUUUGUGAAUCCCACUUCCUUAGAAAGUGCCAGCGACCGCCGCUUGCCCCUCUGCGCCCUGUCUGCUCCCCACCCUUCUCCAGUGGUGUGUGAAGUUGCUGCCCACAGUGAGCUCAGACAGAGCGGUUCCCAAGCGGCUGCCACCGUGACCGGAUGCAGACACAAUCCCUGGUUCUCGGCCCAGGCUGCUAUUUUUCGGUUCCAAGGACCACUACUAACACUACCUGACAUCGGUUUCCUGAGCCGCAGGACGACUUGAUAGGAUGCCAUCUAGUGUCCCAACCUUUGCCAGCAACAGAAGUGAGGCAUUACCCAAAAUAAAAUAAAUAGAUAAAAAGAAAGGAGAGGAGAGAAGAGGAAAAGAGAGGAAGAUAGAUGUUUGACUAAUUCAAAACUGAAGCACGAGGGGUUUUCUUCUUUUUUAUGACCACUGCCCUGCAGGAGUUACUGUAGGUGUCCUGCCUGUGUCUCCCUACCCUUACUUCUUCAGUGCACAGUGGCCAGACCACCAGCCACCAGGAUCUGCAUACCUCUUGAGCCACUAUGCCCAGUGUAGGAAGCUGAUGUGAAUUCGUGUCCCCUUUGAGAGCAGCCCUCAACAAAGGACAGAUGGGAAUGGAUGUAUAGCAUAAAUAUUCCAGCUCGCUCACUCAGGUAGGAUGACAAAAAAAGCCUGUGUCCAACACUUCCAGAGUUUUCUAAUGGCAUUAAGCUCCAACUGCCCAGAGUGGUCGUUGGCCCAGUUAGGGAUCCUUUACUGGCUGCUUUUCUCUGUGUCUCAAUCCCUACUUCCUUGCCAGGAUUUCCUUCACUUCCCAAGUAAACAAGUAAACCAUGUGCUUUGGAAUCUUUGUCUCAGGAUCUCCUAAGCAAACGAAACCUCUCUGUGGUACGCUGCAAAAAUGGCCACCUCUCCCUCUUUCUUUACCCCAAGGAUGUUACAGCCCCUCCCAUCAAGCGGUGGGCCAGCUGUGGGUCUUGCUUUUCACCACCAGAACAUGGCAGAAGUGAUAGCAGGAACCUUGCACACUUCUACUUUUUCCUCAAAACUCAUAAGCAAUAAUAAAUAGUUGCU
Molecule: long non-coding RNA, 1604 nt
Organism: Mustela erminea (ermine)
Lineage: Eukaryota; Metazoa; Chordata; Mammalia; Carnivora; Mustelidae
Exons: 3
Source: RefSeq, a predicted model, not a curated record